AGCAAUGACCAUCAGGGGAAGAGAUUAGGGGUGCCACCUUAGAGUUUGCCACACGGUCUUCCUAAGAAAACCAAGAUCUAGAAUUUCUAGUAGAAUUUUCUUUUGUUCGUCUAAGAAUCAAUUGAUUCUUAAUUCUAAGCUUGAAGUGUAACUGCAUUUUUAUGGGUAGAAAGAUCAACCGUGUGAACCAAGCUGAGUAUCUUCACCAGCCCCUGAGUUGCUGCACUGUGAACUGGGUAUACAGACUGCUAAUGCUUUGUUAGGAGUUCUUUCAACAUGGAAACUACUUGAUACAUCAGCUUUGAAGCAAUGCGGCAUACGCAUGCUCUAGAAAGGUAAAAUGCUAAGGUCUGUCCUGCUGAAGAGUCCAGUGGCCACACCAGUUUCACAUUACACAGAACACAGCUUCUUCACAACCUCUGACCAUCUCCAUCCUCUGAAGUGGUCCACUGGAUCUAAUGUCCCAACAUGCUGUGCUAUUUGUAACAUGCUGAGGGCUCUGCCCCAC
RNAcentral lists this long non-coding RNA (508 nucleotides) under Homo sapiens (human). RNAcentral describes it as "HSALNT0233718". Lineage: Eukaryota; Metazoa; Chordata; Mammalia; Primates; Hominidae. The record is from RNAcentral.